UAUUGCGUAAAGAAUGACUUGGGUUAUGCAUAUGAUGUCAGGUAUAAAGCAGUAACACAUAAAUAAAAAUCGUAAACAAAGAGCACGUAAACGCACAACAGUGAUAACAACGACACAAACCAUGAUAACAACGACACAAACCAAAAUACGAACAAUGUUUAUACACCUAUAAAGCCAAUCAAGCCGAUACGACUCCAAAAAUAAGCUCGAAUUCAAAAAAAAAAGUCCCCAGCAGAGUCGCCAGAGCUGUCACACCCCUUUUUUAACCGAAAAGAUUCAUUUUAGGUUCAAAAGGAUUUUUAUUAUUAAAGUGACAAAAUGAAGAUAAUUGUUUCGAAAAGGACCUUUUAUAUUCAAAACUCAGAGUCGCCACUUGGCAUAAAUCCGAUGUGCCAAGUCACCUUUUGGAAAAUCCUUUUCAAAAUGGUUUGACUCUUUUAAAACUGAUUUGCGAACAGAGAUUCUUGCUAAGGAAAUCUGUUGACCGAGGGGAUGGUGUUAGGCACCUCUC
RNAcentral lists this long non-coding RNA (511 nucleotides) under Capsicum annuum. RNAcentral describes it as "long non-coding RNA (CANN_LNC017621)". Lineage: Eukaryota; Viridiplantae; Streptophyta; Magnoliopsida; Solanales; Solanaceae. The record is from RNAcentral.